RNAcentral lists this ribosomal RNA (459 nucleotides) under uncultured bacterium. RNAcentral describes it as "partial 16S ribosomal RNA". It matches the Rfam family "Bacterial small subunit ribosomal RNA", at positions 338 to 795 of the family's 1533-position model. The record is from RNAcentral.
CCUACGGGAGGCAGCAGUGAGGAAUAUUGGUCAAUGGCCGAGAGGCUGAACCAGCCAAGUCGCGUGAGGGAAGACGGCCCUACGGGUUGUAAACCUCUUUUGUCGGGGAGCAAAGCGAGUCACGUGUGACUCAUUGAGAGUACCCGAAGAAAAAGCAUCGGCUAACUCCGGUCCAGCAGCCGCGGUAAUACGGGGGAUGCGAGCGUUAUCCGGAUUUAUUGGGUUUAAAGGGUGCGCAGGCGGAGGUGCAAGUCAGGGGGCAAAUUGCGGGGCUCAACCCCGUACUGCCGUUGAAACUGCAUCCCUUGAGUGCGCGAGAAGUAUGCGGAAUGCGUGGUGUAGCGGUGAAAUGCAGAGAUAUCACGCAGAACUCCGAUUGCGAAGGCAGCAUACCGGCGCGCAACUGACGCUCAUGCACGAAAGCGUGGGUAUCGAACAGGAUUAGAUACCCGUGUAGUC